RNAcentral lists this long non-coding RNA (1457 nucleotides) under Equus asinus (donkey). Its description in RNAcentral is "lncRNA (ENSEASG00005000948.2)". The record is from RNAcentral. Lineage: Eukaryota; Metazoa; Chordata; Mammalia; Perissodactyla; Equidae.
GUAGCCGCGUCCAGACAAACCUAACCAACCGGAGCCCGCUCCGCGCAUGCGCCCCGGCUCGCGGCCGCGGGUCCGGCCCCGCCCGCGCCAGGGCCGCGCACUCCGGAGUCGCGCGCUGGGACUCUCGCAUGCGCAUGCGCGCGGCGGCGCUUCCUGGGAACGCGGGCUCCGCGGAGCCGGGGUGGGCGGUGACUCAGCGCCCGGGGCGGAGCGGGGUCCCCUAGCUGUGGGGCCGGCGAGCUUCGCCCCCUCUGCCCUCAGCCGCGCUGGUGCCCGAGGCUGUCCCGGCCUCAGGCCGCUCUGUGCGUUGUCCGCUCGCUGGACGCCCGCAGGGGCUCGGAAGUCUAGAUUCGAGAGCGGGAAAGGCCUUGAAGUUGCUCAUUGUUGUUGCGGGUGCGGCCACAGGUUGCUGGAGGCAUUUGGGGCAUGUGAAGAAGGCGAAGGCGAAUCGGUGCUGGCAGUGAGGAUGUGGUUUUCACCUGCGGAAGUGAGAAUUUUAUGAGGUUAUUCCAUCUCCCUUUCCCGCCAGAAGCUCAGAGGAGCUGGAAUCCAGUCUGCCUGUCCUGUCCUCCAGAACAGAAACCAGCCCUGCCUCGCUCACCUUCCCCUACUCCUGGGCGAGAGGACCUUACACACAGUAAGCCAUCAGUGAAUGGACACAUCAGGGGUGCUGUUUGUGGUGUAAAGGAUUUGUAAAGUGAAGAUUUAUCCCUCAACUUUACAUGCUGACUUUGCUUAAAACAAGAUUCAACUGUAAGCUCCGUUCAAAGCCCUUCGGAAUCAAAACACUUCCCUCGGAGAGGCACAGAAGGCUCUCCUUACAGAGAGCAGCUUGAGUUCCUGCUUCUGCAAAUGUCUGUCACUGUCCCCAUCUUUCAAAGUCCAGGGGAAAUGAGUGAGCAGGAGAAGAUUUAACUGAAGAGGUGACACUUGAGCUGGACCUUGAAAUUGGAAUUCUCCUAGCAGAUGGGAGUCUUAGACACUGCGAAAAAAAACAUCGCCCCUCCAUGCACUACCUUUUGCAAAAUGAGGAAAUGGAUCCCGAGAGAGGAAAUGACUGGCCCAGGGCUGCACGGCCAGUUAGUAGAGCCAGCGCUCCCAGCUCUGCUGCUUGGGCAUCUUCCACUCAAGCUCCACACAUCUCAUCCAGCCCAGCCAAAAGCCUCUGGUUCCAGAGCCUCCUCUGCAAAGAAGGAGCUAGGACAGCAGACACAGAUGCAGCCCUCUUCAGAUGGCCUCUGUCCACCUGAGCUGCAAAUGUCCACCCUGCCCCACAGUUGCUCCUGUGGCUUUCUUUGGAGCAGGCUUCUCUCCUGGCUUGCUUUCUGCCUUCUCUGCUGCAGCCCCCUCAGUCCUCACGGCAGCACCAUCUGGAAGUGUAACUCUGCUAAGGAUGGCCGCAACUUUGCCCACCCCCUCCGCCAUGUUCUGCUGAGUGUGGGCCCACACCAACGCAG